AUGGAGAUGGCAGUGAGGCCACGGGGGAGGCUGCUGUCCCCAUGCAAAUGGUUUGGGAAAACAGUGCACCACCUUCCAUUAAUUCCCCUGAUUAAAACGGAAUUAGUCGUUAGGUGUCGGGGACAGGCAGCUGUUUUCAAGGAAGCCCUGGCUCCACGAGGUCCUUCCUCGCAGGGCAGCGGCGGCUCUAUCUGGAGGUUCAGCCAACAAACCAGGAUGAAACCUCCCCAGAUUUUUCUGCAUUUUUUUCUGAAGGUGGUAACACAAGAGAAUGGUCUUUUCUGUGGAAAAGCUGACAACUUUUUUCCAUGUGAAGGACUUUCAUUGUCAGAGUUUUCUUCUGAGAUCACAAACACUUGAGUCAUGAAGCGCAUCCCUUCCUUCAAGUACUUCCAAGUCAUCAUCUGCUUGUUGGGAAUCUUGAAAAUAUGUGCCUGUGGACUACUACAUCAGGAUGCAAAGGAACAGAUCCAUUCUUACAGUAAUUAAAUGUCUCUUGGUCUUUGAGAACAUCACAAUUUGAGGUUAUGAAUAGUAUGGUACAUUAGCACCAUUUUCUAUUACAACAUGAAUGUCCCUAAAAGCUCAUCUCUGUAUGCUUACAAGCAGCUGCCAGGGAACAAUCUCAGCAACCUAUGUUCCCUUCGCAUCUUGCCUGUGAUGCUGGGAAUCGUGAAUAUCCCUUGAUCAAGUCACACAUCAGAUGAGAUACUGGAAGACUGAUUCUCAUCCUUUGAUUCCUUGUUUUCAUUUUACUAUAAAAGACCCUUAUCUUCAUUAAGCGAGGGCAGAAGUUCUUCCAUCAGCACACACUGCAGAGAUUGCUUUGGCUCUGAUGGGAGCUUGUCAACUUUCAC
This 857-nucleotide long non-coding RNA is filed under the name Numida meleagris (helmeted guineafowl). Its description in RNAcentral is "lncRNA (ENSNMEG00000011690.1)". The record is from RNAcentral. Lineage: Eukaryota; Metazoa; Chordata; Aves; Galliformes; Numididae.